RNA transcript from Rhineura floridana, 2102 nucleotides. RefSeq lists it as uncharacterized. The record is from RefSeq and is a predicted model, not a curated record. The transcript has 5 exons. NCBI's taxonomy places the organism in Eukaryota, Metazoa, Chordata, Lepidosauria, Squamata, Rhineuridae.
UCUUCUCGUAGAAAGGGAACUUGCUGAUGAUGUACUGGUAGAUGCCGGAUAGCGUCAGGCGCUUCUCGGCGCUCUCGCGGAUGGCCAUAGCGAUGAGCGCCACAUACGAGUACGGCGGCUUCUGUGAAGGGUCGCCCUUCUCCAGCGGCGCCGCCGAGGACGACGAAGACGUCUUAGUGGAAGCCGGGCUCAGCUCGCUCUUUACCCCCGACUCGCCUCCGCCGAUGCCGGGCUCCUUGGCGGCCUGGUGGAGCAGAGCCACCGUGUCCUCGGGCGGGGGGUCUUGGUAGCUUGUGGCCAUCAUGGCACCACCUGCUGCUCAGGCUGCUGCUGCCGCUGCUGCUCACCUCGAAGGUGGCUUCAGGGGAUCGGGGCCCCCAGCCCACCAGAUCGCGGCGCUGGCUCCCCCAAGAUCGCGCAGGAAGAUCUGCUCCAAGCGCCUUUCCCGCCUGCCUACUUUAAGCCCUGCCUGAGCCUGGUGGGCUUUUUUGUCUCCCCCCGUUCCUUUCUGUCUCUCUUUCAAGAGGCAGGCAGCCAGCCUCCCUGAUCAGCAGGCUCAGAUAUCCACUCAACUGCUCUUCUGGACUAGCUCUUUUCUGAUUUGUAUGGGCUCCGGAGAGUUCCGCUUUCGUCAGGAUCCCUUUCUCUCGUCGCCCCCCCUCUGCCUCCCCCCCAAGCCUGGGAGCCAGCUGGGCACGGGCGAGUUCAUGGCGAAGUCACAUUGCACAAGUACACCCCGGCGAGGAAAUCAGCCGCUGAAGCCAAAGGGGGUCCCAGAGCGGAGGGAAGCGCGGGGGUGGGAAUGUUCGAUGGCUGGAAAACACACCCUCGAAAUCCUUCACGGGAAAGAAGCUGCCUCUCUUUUGCAGAUGCGGCGAAUGCACGAGGCAGCUUCGGAGGAAAACAAACGCUCCUACACCGUUUGUGUCGCCUUUUGCGUCCUCCUCAAGUGGCCCGACUCGACGGAAAGCAAAUCCAGGGGGCUUUUCCUUUUCCUGAGCACACAAACCUGUAAACACAUUUUUUUAAGUGAAGGACCCGAAAAGAGUGGCUACAAAUUACAGCACAAGGAUCUCCUCGGUAACUUUCAGAAGAGGAUCAGGGUAAAAUACCAUAUAAGGAGAGAUUGUAAUCUGCUGCGUCUACUUCUCAAGACUUAAAGAGGUCAACAGAGGGACAGUGACUUCCAACCUGAGCAGCCUGCUUUUUGUAUGGUUUUCUUAGGGUAUGACUAUACCGGCUAUUUCUGGAGAGGUACAUCCCAGAAGUAUCACCAGCUCCUGCUACACUCAGCACUCAACUCCUCAUCUAGAAAAUUGGACCUGAUAUGCAUUUUAUGCAGAUAUGCAGAUACAGGCUGGCUGCCAAAAACCUACACCAGUUUCCUGACACUUCAUGGAUCCUUUACAGUAUCUGCCUUGCAAAGAAUGAGCCCAUGCUAUGGUUUUAAUUGCCAGCUGUGCAACCUUGCAAAAUAGAAGUGCUUGGAUCUCUCUGCAGUAUUUGCAUUUUUUGACCCCCAAAGAGAAAAGAAUUUGCCAUUAUAUAUGGAAAAACAGAUUGCUAAUUUCACUUAGUGAAGGAGCUCAAGCUGAUCAGGCCAUCACUAAUAAUGCGUUAUGCAACAUUCCAAAAGCAAAACAUGCAUUAUUACAUUUCAGGACAUACCGACAUGUCCUGAAUAAAUGCCAGGAUUUUUGCAAUAUAAUUUAGAACUGCUUCCAGCUAUUAUGACAUCACACUAUGUGUUCAGUGUAAUUUAGUUUUCUGCUGUUUUUGAUAUAAAAACAGAUUUCAUCUCUCUUUUUAAAAUGAGAAAUUAAACUUAAAUGUUGCAUUCUAUGAAAUUAAUAAAAAUGCCACUCAAAACAGUGCAAUUUAGAGUGAUGCCAUUGAAUGUGCCUUACUAUUUAAACAAUUAAGCCAUAGAUAGCAUAAAAGUGUCUUUCAGAUUAAAUUUCAGGCUUAGUUACACAUCAUGGGAAAUGGCAGAAGUGUAACCAAACAGCCACUGCCGAGAGAAGUUUAGAAGAGCAUGUUUGGAAAAAUUAUUCCUUUACACUAAGACUGUAUGCUUAUUUGCAAUUUAUCUGAGUGCUGUA